GAUGAACGCUGGCGGCGUGCCUAAUACAUGCAAGUCGAGCGGUAACACUUCGGGUGACGAGCGGCGGACGGGUGAGUAACGCGUGGGAACAUACCCCAAACUGAGGGAUAAGCCAUCGAAAGAUGGUCUAAUACCGCAUACGGUCUACGGAUUAAAGUCUUCGGACGGUUUGGGAAUGGCCUGCGUCUGAUUAGCUAGUUGGUAAGGUAAAGGCUUACCAAGGCUAUGAUCAGUAGCUGGUUUGAGAGGAUGAUCAGCCACACUGGAACUGAGACACGGUCCAGACUCCUACGGGAGGCAGCAGUAGGGAAUCUUCCACAAUGGACGAAAGUCUGAUGGAGCAACGCCGCGUGCAGGAUGAAGGCUUUCGAGUCGUAAACUGCUUUUCUCUGUGACGAAUAUGACGGUAGCAGAGGAAUAAGGAUCGGCUAACUCCGUG
RNAcentral lists this ribosomal RNA (439 nucleotides) under uncultured Candidatus Saccharibacteria bacterium. RNAcentral describes it as "bacterial SSU rRNA". It matches the Rfam family "Bacterial small subunit ribosomal RNA", at positions 28 to 507 of the family's 1533-position model. The record is from RNAcentral. Lineage: Bacteria; Candidatus Saccharimonadota.